AUUGAACGCUGGCGGCAGGCCUAACACAUGCAAGUCGAGCGAGCGGCGGACGGGUGAGUAAUGUAUGGGGACUGCACGAUAGAGGGGGAUAACUACUGGAAACGGUGGCUAAUACCGCAUACUAUCGGAUAACCCAGAUGGGAGUAGCUAGUGGGUGGGGUAAAGGCUCACCUAGGCGACGAUCCCUAGCUGGUCUGAGAGGAUGAACAGCCACACGGGAACUGAGACACGGCCCAGAUCCCUACGGAGGCAGCAGUGGGGAAUAUUGCACAAUGGGCGCAAGCCUGAUGCAGCCAUGCCGCGUGUAUGAAGAAGGCCUUAGGGUUGUAAAGUACUUUCAGCUGGGAGGCGUUACCCACAGAAGAAGCACCGGCUAACUCCGUGCCAGCAGCCGCGGUAAUAC
RNAcentral lists this ribosomal RNA (403 nucleotides) under uncultured bacterium. RNAcentral describes it as "partial 16S ribosomal RNA". It matches the Rfam family "Bacterial small subunit ribosomal RNA", at positions 30 to 526 of the family's 1533-position model. The record is from RNAcentral.